AGUGUCCUGCAGAUCUUAU
This 19-nucleotide transfer RNA is filed under the name Gadus morhua kildinensis. RNAcentral's name for it is "partial tRNA-Ala". The record is from RNAcentral. Lineage: Eukaryota; Metazoa; Chordata; Actinopteri; Gadiformes; Gadidae.